This 396-nucleotide ribosomal RNA is filed under the name uncultured bacterium. RNAcentral's name for it is "partial 16S ribosomal RNA". It matches the Rfam family "Bacterial small subunit ribosomal RNA", at positions 523 to 918 of the family's 1533-position model. The record is from RNAcentral.
AUACGGAGGAUGCGAGCGUUAUCCGGAAUCAUUGGGUUUAAAGGGUGCGUAGGCGGCCUUUCAAGCCCGGGGUGAAAAUCUGGGGCCCAACCCCAGACCUGCCUCGGGAACUGGCUGGCUGGAGUACGCUUGCCGCGGAAGGAAUGAGUGGGGUAGCGGUGAAAUGCAUAGAUAUCACUCAGAACACCGAUUGCGAAGGCAUCCCGCGAAGGCGCGACUGACGCUGAGGCACGAAAGCGUGGGGAUCGAACAGGAUUAGAUACCCUGGUAGUCCACGCAGUAAACGAUGAUAGCUAGCCGUUGGCCCGUCAGAGUGGUCAGUGGCCGAGCGAAAGCGAUAAGCUAUCCACCUGGGGAGUACGGCCGCAAGGCUGAAACUCAAAUGAAUUGACGGGG